RNAcentral lists this ribosomal RNA (433 nucleotides) under uncultured bacterium. RNAcentral's name for it is "partial 16S ribosomal RNA". It matches the Rfam family "Bacterial small subunit ribosomal RNA", at positions 29 to 507 of the family's 1533-position model. The record is from RNAcentral.
AACGAACGCUGGCGGCAUGCCUAACACAUGCAAGUCGAACGAGACCUUCGGGUCUAGUGGCGCACGGGUGCGUAACGCGUGGGAACCUGCCUUUAGGUUCGGAAUAACUCAGAGAAAUUUGAGCUAAUACCGGAUGAUGUCUUCGGACCAAAGAUUUAUCGCCUUUAGAUGGGCCCGCGUUGGAUUAGCUAGUUGGUGGGGUAAAGGCCUACCAAGGCGACGAUCCAUAGCUGGUCUGAGAGGAUGAUCAGCCACACUGGGACUGACACACGGCCCAGACUCCUACGGGAGGCAGCAGUGGGGAAUAUUGGACAAUGGGCGAAAGCCUGAUCCAGCAAUGCCGCGUGAGUGAUGAAGGCCUUAGGGUUGUAAAGCUCUUUUACCCGAGAUGAUAAUGACAGUAUCGGGAGAAUAAGCUCCGGCUAACUCCGUG